GACGAACGCUGGCGGCGUGCUUAACACAUGCAAGUCGAACGGAAAGGCUCCAGCUUGCUGGAGUACUCGAGUGGCGAACGGGUGAGUAACACGUGGGUGAUCUGCCCUGCACUUCGGGAUAAGCCUGGGAAACUGGGUUUAAUACCGGAUAGGACCGCACUUUGGUGUGUGUGGUGGAAAGGUUUUUCUGGUGUGGGAUGAGCUCGCGGCCUAUCAGUUUGUUGGUGGGGUAAUGGCCUACCAAGACGGCGACGGGUAGCCGGCCUGAGAGGGUGGACGGUCACAUUGGGACUGAGAUACGGCCCAGACUCCUACGGGAGGCAGCAGUGGGGAAUAUUGCACAAUGGGGGAAACCCUGAUGCAGCGACGCCGCGUGGGGGAUGAAGGCCUUCGGGUUGUAAACUCCUUUCGCUAGGGACGAAGCUUUUUGUGACGGUACCUGGAGAAGAAGCACCGGCUAACUACGUG
This 468-nucleotide ribosomal RNA is filed under the name uncultured bacterium. RNAcentral's name for it is "partial 16S ribosomal RNA". It matches the Rfam family "Bacterial small subunit ribosomal RNA", at positions 28 to 507 of the family's 1533-position model. The record is from RNAcentral.